AACGAACGCUGGCGGCAGGCCUAACACAUGCAAGUCGAGCGCCCUUUCGGGGGAGCGGCGGAAGGGUGAGUAACGCGUGGGAAUAUGCCCUUCUCUACGGAAUAGCCUCGGGAAACUGAGAGUAAUACCGUAUACGCCCUUUGGGGGAAAGAUUUAUCGGGGAAGGAUUAGCCCGCGUUGGAUUAGGUAGUUGGUGGGGUAAUGGCCUACCAAGCCGACGAUCCAUAGCUGGUUUGAGAGGAUGAUCAGCCACACUGGGACUGAGACACGGCCCAGACUCCUACGGGAGGCAGCAGUGGGGAAUCUUAGACAAUGGGGGCAACCCUGUUCUAGCCAUGCCGCGUGAGUGAUGAAGGCCUUAGGGUUGUAAAGCUCUUUCAGCUGGGAAGAUAAUGACGGUACCAGCAGAAGAAGCCCCGGCUAACUCCGUG
This 431-nucleotide ribosomal RNA is filed under the name uncultured bacterium. Its description in RNAcentral is "partial 16S ribosomal RNA". It matches the Rfam family "Bacterial small subunit ribosomal RNA", at positions 29 to 507 of the family's 1533-position model. The record is from RNAcentral.